Sarcophilus harrisii (Tasmanian devil) is the source of this 840-nucleotide long non-coding RNA. RefSeq lists it as uncharacterized. The transcript is spliced from 2 exons. The record is from RefSeq and is a predicted model, not a curated record. Lineage: Eukaryota; Metazoa; Chordata; Mammalia; Dasyuromorphia; Dasyuridae.
GCCUAUGCCUAAACCCUCCGGGGGGAGCCUCCCAUCCCAUCCCCCCUCCUAGUCUGAAAACCUUCCCCGCUGGGCAGCUUCCUCUCACACAGCGCAGCCCCCGGAGGCGGUCAAAGAAGGGGCAACGGCGUCUUCUCCCUCACCCUUGGCUUCCCCCGGGGCUGGGAGCUCAGGUUCCGGGACUUCCCUGCAAGGUGUCUGAUGUUUUCCCCUGGGAAGGCGAAGGAUUGCGAGACAAGAGGACAGCAUUAGCCCAGACAAUCUUCUGUCAGAUCUUCCUUACAGGAAAGCUACUGAGCAGAACGCAACGAUAAUUGUAUCUAGAAGAUCCAGAAGAAAUAUAAGAAAAUCAGCAAGGACCAACUAUACAGCAGGGAUCAAAGACAAACGCUCUACUUGUGAUAUAAUAUUGGUCAUUGUUAGUAGUAAUCGUAUUUUAAAACCUGAUCAUAACUAAGCUAGUCUGAAAGAAAGGUUGGGUCUGAGUUGUAUAUAAUGAGGUGAUUAUAGAAAAAAUUGGUUUAAACAAAAGAUUAAAUGGAGGAAUUAUCUGAUAAAAAACAUGGUAUGAAAGGAAGCAUGUGGGGGUGGGGGGCUGGAGUGUUGGAGCCUGACUCUCAUCUGGGAUAAGGAGGAAACAACAUAUACAUCUGAAAAGGUCUAGAAGUCUUCUGAACUUCGGCGAGUGUGAAUGUGAAAAGGACUGGAGAACGACUGAACAAGUUGUGGUUUAUGAGUGUGGCGGAAUACUGCUGGGCUAUAAAGUGGCGAGCUUACUGAUUUUUGAAAAAAAAUAUGGAAAGUGUAAGAAAUAAUGAAGAGCAAAAUCAGCAGAAUCAA